GAUGAACGCUGGCGGCGUGCCUAAUACAUGCAAGUCGAGCGAACGGACGAGAAGCUUGCUUCUCUGAUGUUAGCGGCGGACGGGUGAGUAACACGUGGAUAACCUACCUAUAAGACUGGGAUAACUUCGGGAAACCGGAGCUAAUACCGGAUAAUAUUUUGAACCGCAUGGUUCAAAAGUGAAAGACGGUCUUGCUGUCACUUAUAGAUGGAUCCGCGCUGCAUUAGCUAGUCGGUAAGGUAACGGCUUACCAAGGCAACGAUGCAUAGCCGACCUGAGAGGGUGAUCGGCCACACUGGAACUGAGACACGGUCCAGGCUCCUACGGGAGGCAGCAGUAGGGAAUCUUCCGCAAUGGGCGAAAGCCUGACGGAGCAACGCCGCGUGAGUGAUGAAGGUCUUCGGAUCGUAAAACUCUGUUAUUAGGGAAGAACAUAUGUGUAAGUAACUGUGCACAUCUUGACGGUACCUAAUCAGAAAGCCACGGCUAACUACGUG
RNAcentral lists this ribosomal RNA (497 nucleotides) under uncultured bacterium. RNAcentral's name for it is "partial 16S ribosomal RNA". It matches the Rfam family "Bacterial small subunit ribosomal RNA", at positions 28 to 507 of the family's 1533-position model. The record is from RNAcentral.